AUCCGGCUGAUGUGUUCCAAAUAGGACGAAACAAGCAUCCUGGAU
RNAcentral lists this non-coding RNA (45 nucleotides) under Schistosoma mattheei. The record is from RNAcentral. Lineage: Eukaryota; Metazoa; Platyhelminthes; Trematoda; Strigeidida; Schistosomatidae.